AUUACGGGUGAAAACCUAAAACUCAAAAGACUUGACGGUGUUCCAACCUACCUAGAGGAGCCUGUUCCAUAAUCGACAACCCACGAUACACCUAACCGCCCUUAGAAAUAUCAGCCUAUAUACCGCCGUCGCCAGCUUACCUUCCAAAAGAAUACAAGUAAGCUAAAAAGUAUUUUACUAAAAAGUCAGGUCAAGGUGUAGCACAUAGGUCGGAGGUAAUGGGCUACAUUAUUUAACCUAAAUUAUUUAACGAAUUUCUGAAUGAAAACAUAAUGAACGUGGAUUUAGCAGGAAUUUAAACAAGAAUAUUUAGAUUAACGCAAGCCCUGGAACAUGUACACA
This 342-nucleotide ribosomal RNA is filed under the name Magdalenasaura adercum. RNAcentral's name for it is "partial small subunit ribosomal RNA". It matches the Rfam family "Bacterial small subunit ribosomal RNA", at positions 879 to 1389 of the family's 1533-position model. The record is from RNAcentral. Lineage: Eukaryota; Metazoa; Chordata; Lepidosauria; Squamata; Gymnophthalmidae.